AUUUUCUUAGUACAAAUAGUACAGAUGGCUUCCAACCAUCCAGCCCUAGUUUGAAUCUAGGAGAAAAUA
This 69-nucleotide transfer RNA is filed under the name Dyscophus antongilii (tomato frog). Its description in RNAcentral is "tRNA-Gly". It matches the Rfam family "tRNA". Rfam says of the family: Transfer RNA (tRNA) molecules are approximately 80 nucleotides in length. Their secondary structure includes four short double-helical elements and three loops (D, anti-codon, and T loops). The record is from RNAcentral. Lineage: Eukaryota; Metazoa; Chordata; Amphibia; Anura; Microhylidae.